UCAGGCGCUCUCCCCGCACGUACCUCUGGGGGAGAGUUGGUCCUCACCGCCCCGCCUGGCCGGCCACCGCCGGUGCCCCCUCUCGGGGAAUGGUUGCUCCCAGCUCCCGGCCGUAACGUCCCGCUCCUCCUCCCGCCGGUGCCCGGCUCGGAUGCUGCCAGCCGGGAGAGCCCCGCCGCGCUGUCCGUGAGGCGCAGCACGCUAUCGGCGGGGUCCCGCGGCACCCCUGCGUCGCCUGGGAGGACUGGAGCGCCGACAGUCCAUCAUCUGUGCAGGUCGUUUCGCAUGUACGGCCAGGUCUCUUCGGAGCCGGUUGAGGUUAAAACGGGAUCUUCUGCUUGCAGUGGUACCCAGGGGAGGCUAAAAUGUAGAGCAAGUUAAAUCCCUGGAGAUGCAAGUCAGGUAUCUUCCCGUGCUUUCUGUGCUUAGUUGAAAGCUCGUGGUCUGUGGAAUCUUUUGAAUUUCUGCUGUUGAAACCACACAUAAUU
Long non-coding RNA from Pezoporus flaviventris, 488 nucleotides. RefSeq lists it as uncharacterized. The transcript is spliced from 2 exons. The record is from RefSeq and is a predicted model, not a curated record. Lineage: Eukaryota; Metazoa; Chordata; Aves; Psittaciformes; Psittacidae.